RNAcentral lists this ribosomal RNA (413 nucleotides) under Bacillus sp. E2.Zn 2. RNAcentral's name for it is "bacterial SSU rRNA". It matches the Rfam family "Bacterial small subunit ribosomal RNA", at positions 196 to 595 of the family's 1533-position model. Lineage: Bacteria; Bacillati; Bacillota; Bacilli; Caryophanales; Bacillaceae. The record is from RNAcentral.
GAAAUUGAAAGGCGGCUUCGGCUGUCACUUAUGGAUGGACCCGCGUCGCAUUAGCUAGUUGGUGAGGUAACGGCUCACCAAGGCAACGAUGCGUAGCCGACCUGAGAGGGUGAUCGGCCACACUGGGACUGAGACACGGCCCAGACUCCUACGGGAGGCAGCAGUAGGGAAUCUUCCGCAAUGGACGAAAGUCUGACGGAGCAACGCCGCGUGAGUGAUGAAGGCUUUCGGGUCGUAAAACUCUGUUGUUAGGGAAGAACAAGUGCUAGUUGAAUAAGCUGGCACCUUGACGGUACCUAACCAGAAAGCCACGGCUAACUACGUGCCAGCAGCCGCGGUAAUACGUAGGUGGCAAGCGUUAUCCGGAAUUAUUGGGCGUAAAGCGCGCGCAGGUGGUUUCUUAAGUCUGAUGU